This 1043-nucleotide long non-coding RNA is filed under the name Homo sapiens (human). RNAcentral describes it as "HSALNT0273953". Lineage: Eukaryota; Metazoa; Chordata; Mammalia; Primates; Hominidae. The record is from RNAcentral.
GACCUGUCCAAGGACACAGAGAACAAUGGAAAUGGUAACAAUGUGUUGUUGGAAGACAUACUUCCUUAGCCAUCAAAGCUUUGAAGCUUCAAACCAAUAGCUGAAAGUGUUCUAUCCAGUUUGAAUUAUCACUUGAAAUUUUCAAGUCUUCAUGAGCCUCGAAAAUCCUCAUCUCCAAUGAUUCACUCUUAUUAAUAAGAUCACUAAUGAAUUCUUCAACUUUGUUCAUUAAGUUAUAUUUGUUGUCCCUUUUCAGCAAAUGGUAAAACAUGAUUAUUCAAGCCUUUUAAUUCUCCAUGCUACCUUAAUGAUUAAUGGAAUGUAACUGUCCAGUAGAAAAUGGUUCUUUAUGACAAGUGAUCUUUAUUAUGCUCGAUGAUUACAUAAUGGAAAUAGCAAAUGAAAAAGGCAUUUAUCUGACAUCAUUAUGUAAAUCUCAUGUCUAAAAUUGUAGUACAUUCUGAUGCCCCCUGGGUACAUGUUGGCAUUUAAAUAUAGAAGCUAGCGGUGUAUUACUGUGCCUUAUUUGGUUUUAAACAAUCAUAUUCCCUGGACUGUCCCCAUACAUCCCAACCAUUCCUAUAUAACCUUCUGGUGCCCAGCUUGGGACAGUCUAUUAGAGAGGCUUGAUAGAUAAAAUUAAAAAACAGUGGAAACUCCCAGUAAAUACCACAGUGAAAAAAAUACCCAUGUCACAUGCUCUAAGUAUCUUCGUAUCUUAGUCUCCCAAGCUAAGAUCUUUUUACUGCAGGUGGUUCUCCACUUGGUAGAUUGGACACUGAUUUGUUUAGUGUCCAGAGCUUUAGAAACAGAGCUAAAAUGUGUUCCUAGAUUUUCAGUUACUAUAUGGGUCUUGAAAGCAUCAGUAAAAAUAUAAAAUUGAAAAGAAUUCUAUUCAAAUAUCCAGCUCAUCAAUUUAGGAUAAGAGGAAUAGCCCGAUGUGCUAUACUCAGUCAUUCUACUAACAUCGGCUCAGUCACCCCCUGAAAUAAUUGUUAUCUCAUUAUUAGAUGAUUUAGGUUUCUCAAUAAAAAGAAUUCAUU